This 77-nucleotide transfer RNA is filed under the name Oscillospiraceae bacterium. Its description in RNAcentral is "tRNA-Arg". It matches the Rfam family "tRNA". From Rfam's summary of the family: Transfer RNA (tRNA) molecules are approximately 80 nucleotides in length. Their secondary structure includes four short double-helical elements and three loops (D, anti-codon, and T loops). Further hydrogen bonds mediate the characteristic L-shaped molecular structure. tRNAs have two regions of fundamental functional importance: the anti-codon, which is responsible for specific mRNA codon recognition, and the 3' end, to which the tRNAs corresponding amino acid is attached (by aminoacyl-tRNA synthetases). tRNAs cope with the degeneracy of the genetic code in two manners: having more than one tRNA (with a specific anti-codon) for a particular amino acid; and 'wobble' base-pairing, i.e. permitting non-standard base-pairing at the 3rd anti-codon position. Lineage: Bacteria; Bacillati; Bacillota; Clostridia; Eubacteriales; Oscillospiraceae. The record is from RNAcentral.
GCGCCUGUAGCUCAGCUGGAUAGAGUGCACGGCUACGAACCGUGAGAUCAGGGGUUCGAGUCCCUUCAGGCGUGCCA